RNAcentral lists this ribosomal RNA (492 nucleotides) under uncultured bacterium. Its description in RNAcentral is "partial 16S ribosomal RNA". It matches the Rfam family "Bacterial small subunit ribosomal RNA", at positions 30 to 507 of the family's 1533-position model. The record is from RNAcentral.
AUUGAACGCUGGCGGCAUGCUUUACACAUGCAAGUCGAACGGUAACAGGCCUUCGGGUGCUGACGAGUGGCGAACGGGUGAGUAAUGCAUUGGAACGUACCCAGAGGUGGGGGAUAACGCAGCGAAAGCUGUGCUAAUACCGCAUGUGAUCUGAGGAUGAAAGCGGGGGACCGAGCAGCAAUGUUUGGCCUCGCGCCUUUGGAGCGGCCGAUGUCGGAUUAGCUAGUUGGUGGGGUAAAGGCCUACCAAGGCGACGAUCCGUAGCUGGUCUGAGAGGACGACCAGCCACACUGGGACUGAGACACGGCCCAGACUCCUACGGGAGGCAGCAGUGGGGAAUUUUGGACAAUGGGCGCAAGCCUGAUCCAGCAAUGCCGCGUGCGGGAAGAAGGCCUUCGGGUUGUAAACCGCUUUUGGCAGGAACGAAACGGUGUCCGCUAAUACCGGGCGCUAAUGACGGUACCUGCAGAAUAAGCACCGGCUAACUACGUG